This 2893-nucleotide ribosomal RNA is filed under the name Escherichia coli. RNAcentral describes it as "bacterial LSU rRNA". It matches the Rfam family "Bacterial large subunit ribosomal RNA". Lineage: Bacteria; Pseudomonadati; Pseudomonadota; Gammaproteobacteria; Enterobacterales; Enterobacteriaceae. The record is from RNAcentral.
ACUAAGCGUACACGGUGGAUGCCCUGGCAGUCAGAGGCGAUGAAGGACGUGCUAAUCUGCGAUAAGCGUCGGUAAGGUGAUAUGAACCGUUAUAACCGGCGAUUUCCGAAUGGGGAAACCCAGUGUGAUUCGUCACACUAUCAUUAACUGAAUCCAUAGGUUAAUGAGGCGAACCGGGGGAACUGAAACAUCUAAGUACCCCGAGGAAAAGAAAUCAACCGAGAUUCCCCCAGUAGCGGCGAGCGAACGGGGAGGAGCCCAGAGCCUGAAUCAGUGUGUGUGUUAGUGGAAGCGUCUGGAAAGGCGCGCGAUACAGGGUGACAGCCCCGUACACAAAAAUGCACAUACUGUGAGCUCGAUGAGUAGGGCGGGACACGUGGUAUCCUGUCUGAAUAUGGGGGGACCAUCCUCCAAGGCUAAAUACUCCUGACUGACCGAUAGUGAACCAGUACCGUGAGGGAAAGGCGAAAAGAACCCCGGCGAGGGGAGUGAAAAAGAACCUGAAACCGUGUACGUACAAGCAGUGGGAGCCUCUUUAUGGGGUGACUGCGUACCUUUUGUAUAAUGGGUCAGCGACUUAUAUUCUGUAGCAAGGUUAACCGAAUAGGGGAGCCGAAGGGAAACCGAGUCUUAACUGGGCGUUAAGUUGCAGGGUAUAGACCCGAAACCCGGUGAUCUAGCCAUGGGCAGGUUGAAGGUUGGGUAACACUAACUGGAGGACCGAACCGACUAAUGUUGAAAAAUUAGCGGAUGACUUGUGGCUGGGGGUGAAAGGCCAAUCAAACCGGGAGAUAGCUGGUUCUCCCCGAAAGCUAUUUAGGUAGCGCCUCGUGAAUUCAUCUCCGGGGGUAGAGCACUGUUUCGGCAAGGGGGUCAUCCCGACUUACCAACCCGAUGCAAACUGCGAAUACCGGAGAAUGUUAUCACGGGAGACACACGGCGGGUGCUAACGUCCGUCGUGAAGAGGGAAACAACCCAGACCGCCAGCUAAGGUCCCAAAGUCAUGGUUAAGUGGGAAACGAUGUGGGAAGGCCCAGACAGCCAGGAUGUUGGCUUAGAAGCAGCCAUCAUUUAAAGAAAGCGUAAUAGCUCACUGGUCGAGUCGGCCUGCGCGGAAGAUGUAACGGGGCUAAACCAUGCACCGAAGCUGCGGCAGCGACACUAUGUGUUGUUGGGUAGGGGAGCGUUCUGUAAGCCUGUGAAGGUGUACUGUGAGGUAUGCUGGAGGUAUCAGAAGUGCGAAUGCUGACAUAAGUAACGAUAAAGCGGGUGAAAAGCCCGCUCGCCGGAAGACCAAGGGUUCCUGUCCAACGUUAAUCGGGGCAGGGUGAGUCGACCCCUAAGGCGAGGCCGAAAGGCGUAGUCGAUGGGAAACAGGUUAAUAUUCCUGUACUUGGUGUUACUGCGAAGGGGGGACGGAGAAGGCUAUGUUGGCCGGGCGACGGUUGUCCCGGUUUAAGCGUGUAGGCUGGUUUUCCAGGCAAAUCCGGAAAAUCAAGGCUGAGGCGUGAUGACGAGGCACUACGGUGCUGAAGCAACAAAUGCCCUGCUUCCAGGAAAAGCCUCUAAGCAUCAGGUAACAUCAAAUCGUACCCCAAACCGACACAGGUGGUCAGGUAGAGAAUACCAAGGCGCUUGAGAGAACUCGGGUGAAGGAACUAGGCAAAAUGGUGCCGUAACUUCGGGAGAAGGCACGCUGAUAUGUAGGUGAAGCGACUUGCUCGUGGAGCUGAAAUCAGUCGAAGAUACCAGCUGGCUGCAACUGUUUAUUAAAAACACAGCACUGUGCAAACACGAAAGUGGACGUAUACGGUGUGACGCCUGCCCGGUGCCGGAAGGUUAAUUGAUGGGGUUAGCGGUAACGCGAAGCUCUUGAUCGAAGCCCCGGUAAACGGCGGCCGUAACUAUAACGGUCCUAAGGUAGCGAAAUUCCUUGUCGGGUAAGUUCCGACCUGCACGAAUGGCGUAAUGAUGGCCAGGCUGUCUCCACCCGAGACUCAGUGAAAUUGAACUCGCUGUGAAGAUGCAGUGUACCCGCGGCAAGACGGAAAGACCCCGUGAACCUUUACUAUAGCUUGACACUGAACAUUGAGCCUUGAUGUGUAGGAUAGGUGGGAGGCUUUGAAGUGUGGACGCCAGUCUGCAUGGAGCCGGCCUUGAAAUACCACCCUUUAAUGUUUGAUGUUCUAACGUUGGCCCCUGACCGGGGUUGCGGACAGUGUCUGGUGGGUAGUUUGACUGGGGCGGUCUCCUCCUAAAGAGUAACGGAGGAGCACGAAGGUUGGCUAAUCCUGGUCGGACAUCAGGAGGUUAGUGCAAUGGCAUAAGCCAGCUUGACUGCGAGCGUGACGGCGCGAGCAGGUGCGAAAGCAGGUCAUAGUGAUCCGGUGGUUCUGAAUGGAAGGGCCAUCGCUCAACGGAUAAAAGGUACUCCGGGGAUAACAGGCUGAUACCGCCCAAGAGUUCAUAUCGACGGCGGUGUUUGGCACCUCGAUGUCGGCUCAUCACAUCCUGGGGCUGAAGUAGGUCCCAAGGGUAUGGCUGUUCGCCAUUUAAAGUGGUACGCGAGCUGGGUUUAGAACGUCGUGAGACAGUUCGGUCCCUAUCUGCCGUGGGCGCUGGAGAACUGAGGGGGGCUGCUCCUAGUACGAGAGGACCGGAGUGGACGCAUCACUGGUGUUCGGGUUGUCAUGCCAAUGGCACUGCCCGGUAGCUAAAUGCGGAAGAGAUAAGUGCUGAAAGCAUCUAAGCACGAAACUUGCCCCGAGAUGAGUUCUCCCUGACUCCUUGAGAGUCCUGAAGGAACGUUGAAGACGACGACGUUGAUAGGCCGGGUGUGUAAGCGCAGCGAUGCGUUGAGCUAACCGGUACUAAUGAACCGUGAGGCUUAACC